This 483-nucleotide ribosomal RNA is filed under the name uncultured bacterium. RNAcentral describes it as "partial 16S ribosomal RNA". It matches the Rfam family "Bacterial small subunit ribosomal RNA", at positions 30 to 506 of the family's 1533-position model. The record is from RNAcentral.
AUUGAACGCUGGCGGCAGGCCUAACACAUGCAAGUCGAGCGGAUGAAGGGAGCUUGCUCCUGGAUUCAGCGGCGGACGGGUGAGUAAUGCCUAGGAAUCUGCCUGGUAGUGGGGGAUAACGUCCGGAAACGGGCGCUAAUACCGCAUACGUCCUGAGGGAGAAAGUGGGGGAUCUUCGGACCUCACGCUAUCAGAUGAGCCUAGGUCGGAUUAGCUAGUUGGUGGGGUAAAGGCCUACCAAGGCGACGAUCCGUAACUGGUCUGAGAGGAUGAUCAGUCACACUGGAACUGAGACACGGUCCAGACUCCUACGGGAGGCAGCAGUGGGGAAUAUUGGACAAUGGGCGAAAGCCUGAUCCAGCCAUGCCGCGUGUGUGAAGAAGGUCUUCGGAUUGUAAAGCACUUUAAGUUGGGAGGAAGGGCUGUAAGUUAAUACCUUGCUGUUUUGACGUUACCAACAGAAUAAGCACCGGCUAACUUCGU